GAGGAAGCUUGCUUUCUCCGCCGGCGACCGGCGCACGGGUGAGUAACACGUAUGCAACCUGCCCCUGUCAGGGGGACAACCCGCCGAAAGGCGGGCUAAACCCGCGUACAUGCCACCGGGGCAUCCCGGAGGCAGGAAAGGCUUCGGCCGGACAGGGAUGGGCAUGCGGCGCAUUAGGCAGUAGGCGGGGUAACGGCCCACCUAACCGACGAUGCGUAGGGGUUCUGAGAGGAAGGUCCCCCACACUGGUACUGAGACACGGACCAGACUCCUACGGGAGGCAGCAGUGAGGAAUAUUGGUCAAUGGUCGGGAGACUGAACCAGCCAAGCCGCGUGAGGGAGGAAGGUACAGAGUAUCGUAAACCUCUUUUGUCAGGGAACAAAGGCGGGGACGUGUCCCCGGAUGAGUGUACCUGAAAAAAAAGCAUCGGCUAACUCCGUGCCAGCAACCGCGGUAAUACCGACGAUGCGAGCGUUAUCCGGAUUUAUUGAGUUAAAAGGGUGCGCACGCGGUCUGUUNGGUCUGCGGUCUUUGCCCGGGGCUCUCCCCCGGCCCGCCGUUGCCUCUGGCCGUCUCGCGUGGCGUGCUGUCUGCGGCGUGCGCGGUGUGCGGUGNNCUGCNUCGCUUUCGUGAAGGACUCCGNUUGCGNNGGCNGCNUGCCGGCUCCNCCCUGNCGCUNNNGCCCCANAGCGUGGGUNUCUUUUAAAGGCCCCCCCCCCCCCCCCCCCCCCCACCCCACGAACCUUUUAUUGUAUCCGGGGGGAUUGACCCCUGGGUGGCGAAGCGAAAGCGAUAAGCAUUCCACCUGGGGAGUACGCCGGCAACGGUGAAACUCAAAGGAAUUGACGGGGGCCCGCACAAGCGGAGGAACAUGUGGUUUAAUUCGAUGAUACGCGAGGAACCUUACCCGGGCUCAAACGGGGAGUGACUCAGGCAGAGACGCCUGUUUCCCACGGGACACUCCCCGAGGUGCUGCAUGGUUGUCGUCAGCUCGUGCCGUGAGGUGUCGGCUUAAGUGCCAUAACGAGCGCAACCCCCGCGUGCAGUUGCUAACAGAUAACGCUGAGGACUCUGCACGGACUGCCGGCGCAAGCCGCGAGGAAGGCGGGGAUGACGUCAAAUCAGCACGGCCCUUACGUCCGGGGCGACACACGUGUUACAAUGGGUGGUACAGCGGGAAGCCAGGCGGCGACGCCGAGCGGAACCCGAAAUCCACUCUCAGUUCGGAUCGGAGUCUGCAACCCGACUCCGUGAAGCUGGAUUCGCUAGUAAUCGC
This 1277-nucleotide ribosomal RNA is filed under the name uncultured bacterium. RNAcentral's name for it is "partial 16S ribosomal RNA". It matches the Rfam family "Bacterial small subunit ribosomal RNA", at positions 72 to 1345 of the family's 1533-position model. The record is from RNAcentral.